UCACCUACCUCCACCAUACGU
This 21-nucleotide non-coding RNA is filed under the name Arabidopsis thaliana (thale cress). Lineage: Eukaryota; Viridiplantae; Streptophyta; Magnoliopsida; Brassicales; Brassicaceae. The record is from RNAcentral.